This 404-nucleotide ribosomal RNA is filed under the name Fusobacteriota bacterium. RNAcentral describes it as "Fusobacteria bacterium partial 16S ribosomal RNA". It matches the Rfam family "Bacterial small subunit ribosomal RNA", at positions 355 to 776 of the family's 1533-position model. The record is from RNAcentral. Lineage: Bacteria; Fusobacteriati; Fusobacteriota.
UGGGGAAUAUUGCACAAUGGGCGAAAGCCUGAUGCAGCGACGCCGCGUGAGUGAAGAAGUAUUUCGGUAUGUAAAGCUCUAUCAGCAGGGAAGAAAAUGACGGUACCUGACUAAGAAGCCCCGGCUAACUACGUGCCAGCAGCCGCGGUAAUACGUAGGGGGCAAGUGUUAUCCGGAUUUACUGGGUGUAAAGGGAGCGUAGACGGCGAAGCAAGUCUGAAGUGAAAACCCAGGGCUCAACCCUGGGACUGCUUUGGAAACUGUUUUGCUAGAGUGUCGGAGAGGUAAGUGGAAUUCCUAGUGUAGCGGUGAAAUGCGUAGAUAUUAGGAGGAACACCAGUGGCGAAGGCGGCUUACUGGACGAUAACUGACGUUGAGGCUCGAAAGCGUGGGGAGCAAACAGG